Molecule: long non-coding RNA, 339 nt
Organism: Aplysia californica (California sea hare)
Lineage: Eukaryota; Metazoa; Mollusca; Gastropoda; Aplysiida; Aplysiidae
Exons: 2
Source: RefSeq, a predicted model, not a curated record
AGCACAUGUGUCCAUGGUCUAAGAGAAGAAUCUAAGAUCAUGAUGGUCCUGGAUCAACACCACAUCCAGACGGUCAAAGGUUCCUGCACAGCCUCGUAUUCAGUCACUGCUCGUGAGAUUCUCAUGGGAAAGGAGAUCACCGUGGUCUACGAGGAAAAGGGAGGGUGUGGACGGUCUGAGUCCUUGACUUGUGUCAUCACUGAGGAAGAAAACGGUAAGCGUCCUUUCGGAAGUUUUUAAAAACACAUAAUUAUUAUUUGUGAAAACAGUUGACAAAAUGAGUGAACUCUCCCAAUCCACAAAUGGAGUUAUCGGUGGAAAAUUAAAAUUGAAACAGAA